Molecule: ribosomal RNA, 1395 nt
Filed under: Myriogramme manginii
Lineage: Eukaryota; Rhodophyta; Florideophyceae; Ceramiales; Delesseriaceae
Description: LSU rRNA
Rfam family: Eukaryotic large subunit ribosomal RNA
Source: RNAcentral
UAAAACGUCGGAGAACGGAUUGCGUCUAAUUAAGGGUGCAUGCUGUUCAGCUCUUUUUAUUAAGGGUGUACUCAGUGUGUCACACGACCCGUCGUGGGCUUUGCGUGGCUUAUAAUUUUUUAGGCUGUGUAGGGCUGAGGGAUCCCCAAUUUUUUGGGUGAGGACGAUGGGAGGUCGACGCGAUACGACCCGUCUUGAAACACGGACCAAGGAGUCUAGCGUAGCUGCGAGUCAAAGGGUAUUGAAACCUGGGGGCGCAGUGAAAGCAAUUUAAAACGUUGCAGUUUGAGGCGGCAUACGAUCGUUGAUUGUAGGUCCGACCUAGAGCAGUUAUGCUAGGACCCGAAAGAUGGUGAACUAUGCCGGAGUAGGGCGAAGCCAGAGGAAACUCUGGUGGAGGCUCGUAGCGGUGCUGACGUGCAAAUCGCUCGUCUAACUCGGGUAUAGGGGCGAAAGACUAAUCGAACCAUCUAGUAGCUGGUUUCCUCCGAAGUUUCUCUCAGGAUAGCAGGCCGACGAGUGUUGUUGUUUGUGGUAAAGCGAAUGAUUAGCGUAUUUGGGGGCAUUUUGUCUUCAGACGAUUCUCAAACUUUAAAUACGAACGGAUGUUGCCGCUUGGUUGGGCGGCAUCGUCAAAAACGUCGGCCUUGUGGGCCACUUUUGGUAAGCAGAACUGGCGAUACGGGAUGAACCGUAAGCGGGGUUAAGGCGCCAAAUUGUCCGCUUACAGAUCCCAAAAAAGGUGUUGAUUCAUCGAGACAGCAGGACGGUGGCCAUGGAAGUCGGAAUCCGCUAAGGAGUGUGUAACAACUCACCUGCCGAAUGAAUUAGCCCUGAAAAUGGAUGGCGCUUAAGCGGGCAGCCGAAACCCCGCCGUUUGACCAAAGUGGAUUCAAAUGAGUAGGAGGACGUGGCGGUCGUAUCGAAGCGUAGGUGCGAACCUGCGUGGAACGGCCGCUAGUGCAGAUCUUGGUGGUAGUAGCAAAUAUUCAAACGAGAACCUUGAAGGGCGAAGCGGGGAAGGGUUCCACGCGAACAUUGAUUGGGUGUGGGUAAGUCGUUCCUAAGCCGAGUGGCAAUAGCUAAUUAUCGUGCGAAAGGGAAGCAGGUUGAUAUUCCUGCACGCGGAUGUAGAUGCGGUGACGCACUUCUGAGACGAUGACGUUGGCGAUGGAUCUGGGCAGAGUUUUCUUUUCUGUUUGACCGUACCUAGCGCGCUGUGUGGAAUCCGAUUGUCGGGAGAAACACGCGUGUUUGGGCAGAGCGCCGGGAUUUUCCGGCGUCCAGAUCUCCAUCGACGGCCCUUGAAAAAUCGUCUGCUGGCCAAAUCCUUUUUGUUUUUGGUGUGAAAAUUCUACGCCGCAACGUACCGAUAACCGCAGCAGGUCUCCAAGA